This is a long non-coding RNA of Lynx canadensis (Canada lynx), 102 nucleotides long. RefSeq lists it as uncharacterized. The record is from RefSeq and is a predicted model, not a curated record. NCBI's taxonomy places the organism in Eukaryota, Metazoa, Chordata, Mammalia, Carnivora, Felidae. The transcript has 3 exons.
CACCAUAAUAAAUGUAGUUACCAUUGGUCACCAUAAAACAUUAUUAUAAUAUUACUGACUAUAUUCCUUAUGUUGUAGCAUUCUUUUCUUUGGCUUAUUUAU